Molecule: ribosomal RNA, 301 nt
Filed under: uncultured bacterium
Lineage: Bacteria
Description: partial 16S ribosomal RNA
Rfam family: Bacterial small subunit ribosomal RNA
Source: RNAcentral
CAGUAGCCGCGGGAAAACGUAGGUGGCAAGCGUUGUCCGGAAUUAUUGGGCGUAAAGGGCUCGCAGGCGGUUUCUUAAGUCUGAUGUGAAAGCCCCCGGCUCAACCGGGGAGGGUCAUUGGAAACUGGGAAACUUGAGUGCAGAAGAGGAGAGUGGAAUUCCACGUGUAGCGGUGAAAUGCGUAGAGAUGUGGAGGAACACCAGUGGCGAAGGCGACUCUCUGGUCUGUAACUGACGCUGAGGAGCGAAAGCGUGGGGAGCGAACAGGAUUAGAUACCCGGGUAGUCCCUGUCUCUUAUAC